UGACUCUCUUAAGGUAGCCA
Molecule: non-coding RNA, 20 nt
Filed under: Arabidopsis thaliana (thale cress)
Lineage: Eukaryota; Viridiplantae; Streptophyta; Magnoliopsida; Brassicales; Brassicaceae
Also listed under: 1 other name
Source: RNAcentral